GUGUCAGCAGCCGCGGUAAUACAGAGGUCCCAAGCGUUGUUCGGAUUCACUGGGCGUAAAGGGUGCGUAGGUGGUUGGGUAAGUUUGAUGUGAAAGCUCUGGGCUCAACCCAGAAAUGGCAUUGAAUACUAUCUAACUAGAGGAGUGGAGGGGGGACUGGAAUACUUGGUGUAGCAGUGAAAUGCGUAGAUAUCAAGUGGAACACCAGUGGCGAAGGCGAGUCCCUGGACACUUCCUGACACUGAGGCACGAAAGCUAGGGGAGCAAACAGGAUUAGAUACCCUGGUAGUCC
This 292-nucleotide ribosomal RNA is filed under the name uncultured bacterium. Its description in RNAcentral is "partial 16S ribosomal RNA". It matches the Rfam family "Bacterial small subunit ribosomal RNA", at positions 505 to 796 of the family's 1533-position model. The record is from RNAcentral.